RNAcentral lists this long non-coding RNA (623 nucleotides) under Anser brachyrhynchus (Pink-footed goose). RNAcentral's name for it is "lncRNA (ENSABRG00000012648.1)". The record is from RNAcentral. Lineage: Eukaryota; Metazoa; Chordata; Aves; Anseriformes; Anatidae.
UGUACAUACUGUAUUAAAAUGUAGAUUAAAUGCAUUUUUAUUUUAUGCACAGGAAAUGCUUUUGGAAGAAAAAACUUUUAAGCAUUGGAUUAUACUGUGGGACAUCAGAUCGUUUUAAAGUAUUUUUAUACUUUCUGCAGCAUCUAGCAGCAUUACCUUGGGGAAGCUGAGAUGACUGUGUAAAUUGAAACAAAAUCUGAUUUGGAUCUUCAGGGAUUUUGGAGAAAUUCUGUCAAGAAACAGAAAUGGCAUACAAGCUGUGAGAAGUACUUGUACCCCCUUCACCAAAAUAUGCUCCUAAUGCGAAAAGAAUUUGAAGGCAGUUACUUGUGAGCAGGUUGGGUCAACCCAGAGAUCAGGUCAUCAGGCAAACGUGGUUAUAGCGAUAGGCUGAGUCACCUUCCACUUUUUUCUUUGUUCUUGCCUGAAAUGUCAGUUCUUAAGAGCCCUGUCUUCCCCAGCUUGGCUCUGCAUUGGCACUGCAGUAGGUAAGUAGCUCUGAAAACUGCUUCUCUGUUGGCUCAGGUGCUUGACUGUGUUUUUAAAUACCUUAUCUUAAACAUCUAACUUUAAAAUGCUGCAUUUAAAAUAAAUUCAGGUGAGAGCCAUGAGUGAUGUUUGGG